GCCUAAAGCGUCCGUAGCCGGCUCUGUAAGUUUUCGGUUAAAUCCAUAUGCUCAACAUAUGGGCCGCCGGGAAUACUGCAUAGCUAGGGAGUGGGAGAGGUAGACGGUACUCCGUAGGAAGGGGUAAAAUCCUUUGAUCUAUGGAUGACCACCAGUGGCGAAGGCGGUCUACCAGAACACGUUCGACGGUGAGGGAUGAAAGCUGGGGGAGCAAACCGGAUUAGAUACCCGGGUAGUCCCAGCUGUAAACUAUGCAAACUCAGUGAUGCAUUGGCUUGUGGCCAGUGCAGUGCCGCAGAGAAGUCGUUAAGUUUGCCGCCUGGGAAGUACGUACGCAAGUAUGAAACUUAAAGGAAUUGGCGGGGGAGCACCACAAGGGGUGAAGCCUGCGGUUCAAUUGGAGUCAACGCCAGAAAUCUUACCCGGAGAGACAGCAGGAUGAAGGUCAAGCUGAAGACUUUACCAGACAAGCUGAGAAGUGGUGCAUGGCCGUCGCCAGCUCGUGCCGUGAGGUGUCCUGUUAAGUCAGGUAACGAGCGAGAUCCUUGCCUCUAGUUGCCACCAUUACUCUCAGGAGUAGUGGGGCGAAUUAGCGGGACUGCCGUAGUUAAUACGGAGGAAGGAGAGGGCCACGGCAGGUCAGUAUGCCCCGAA
Molecule: ribosomal RNA, 654 nt
Filed under: uncultured archaeon
Lineage: Archaea
Description: bacterial SSU rRNA
Rfam family: Archaeal small subunit ribosomal RNA
Source: RNAcentral